This 723-nucleotide ribosomal RNA is filed under the name uncultured bacterium. Its description in RNAcentral is "bacterial SSU rRNA". It matches the Rfam family "Bacterial small subunit ribosomal RNA", at positions 62 to 801 of the family's 1533-position model. The record is from RNAcentral.
UCGAGCGGAACUAUUUAAGUUUACUUAGAUAGUUUAGCGGCGGACGGGUGAGUAACGCGUGAGUAACCUGCCUUAUACAGAGGGAUAGCCUUGGGAAACUGGGAUUAAAACCUCAUAAAGUAUAUUUAUCGCAUGAUAGAUAUACCAAAACUCCGGUGGUAUAAGAUGGACUCGCGUCCCAUUAGCUAGUUGGUAGAGUAAUAGCCUACCAAGGCGACGAUGGGUAGCCGGCCUGAGAGGGUGAACGGCCACACUGGAACUGAGACACGGUCCAGACUCCUACGGGAGGCAGCAGUGGGGAAUAUUGCACAAUGGAGGAAACUCUGAUGCAGCGACGCCGCGUGAGCGAAGAAGGUUUUCGGAUCGUAAAGCUCUGUCCUUGGAGAAGAUAAUGACGGUAUCCAAGGAGGAAGCCCCGGCUAACUACGUGCCAGCAGCCGCGGUAAUACGUAGGGGGCGAGCGUUGUCCGGAAUUACUGGGCGUAAAGGGUACGUAGGCGGUUAAAUAAGUCAGGUGUAAAAGGCAUUGGCUCAACCAAUGUAAGCACUUGAAACUGUUUGACUUGAGUAUAGGAGAGGUAAGUGGAAUUCCUAGUGUAGCGGUGAAAUGCGUAGAUAUUAGGAGGAACACCAGUGGCGAAGGCGACUUACUGGACUAUUACUGACGCUGAGGUACGAAAGCGUGNGGAGCAAACAGGAUUAGAUACCCNGGUAGUCCACGCU